RNAcentral lists this ribosomal RNA (491 nucleotides) under uncultured bacterium. RNAcentral describes it as "partial 16S ribosomal RNA". It matches the Rfam family "Bacterial small subunit ribosomal RNA", at positions 29 to 507 of the family's 1533-position model. The record is from RNAcentral.
AUGAACGCUAGCUACAGGCUUAACCCCUGCAAGUCGCGGGGAAACGGCAUUGAGUGCUUGCACUCUUUGGACGUCGACCGGCGCACGGGUGAGUAACGCGUAUCCAACCUUCCCAUUACUGUGGGAUAACCUGCCGAAAGGCAGACUAAUACCGCAUAGUCUUCGAUGACGGCAUCAGAUUUGAAGUAAAGAUUUAUCGGUAAUGGAUGGGGAUGCGUCUGAUUAGCUUGUUGGCGGGGUAACGGCCCACCAAGGCUACGAUCAGUAGGGGUUCUGAGAGGAAGGUCCCCCACAUUGGAACUGAGACACGGUCCAAACUCCUACGGGAGGCAGCAGUGAGGAAUAUUGGUCAAUGGACGGAAGUCUGAACCAGCCAAGUAGCGUGCAGGAUGACGGCCCUAUGGGUUGUAAACUGCUUUUGUAUGGGGAUAAAGUUAGGGACGUGUCCCUAUUUGCAGGUACCAUACGAAUAAGGACCGGCUAAUUCCGUG